Molecule: ribosomal RNA, 497 nt
Filed under: uncultured bacterium
Lineage: Bacteria
Description: partial 16S ribosomal RNA
Rfam family: Bacterial small subunit ribosomal RNA
Source: RNAcentral
GAUGAACGCUGGCGGCGUGCCUAAUACAUGCAAGUCGAGCGAACAGACGCUGAGCUUGCUCCUCUUACGUUACCGGCGGACGGGUGAUUAACACUUGGAUCACCUACCUAUUAUACUGGUAUAACUUCGGGAAACCGACGCUAAUACCGCAUAAUAUUUUGAACCUCUUGGUUCAAUAGUUUAAGACGGUUUUGCUGUCACUUAUAGAUGGAUCUGCGCCGCAUUAGCUAGUUGGUAAGGUAACGGCUUACCAAGCCAACGAUGCGUAGACGACGUGAGAGGGGGAUAGGCCACACUGGAGGGGGGACACGGACCAGACUCCUACGGGAGGGAGCAGUAGGGAAUGUUCCGCAAUGGGGGAAAGCUUGACGGAGCAAGGGCGCGUGAGUGAUGAAGGUCUUCGGAGCGUAAAACUCUGUUAUUGGGGAAGAACAAAUGUGAAAGGAACUGAGCACGUAGUGACGGUACCUAAAGAGAAAGCAACGGCUAACUACGUG